Molecule: long non-coding RNA, 526 nt
Organism: Marmota monax (woodchuck)
Lineage: Eukaryota; Metazoa; Chordata; Mammalia; Rodentia; Sciuridae
Exons: 2
Source: RefSeq, a predicted model, not a curated record
UGAUUCUCACCACUUGUUUGUGGUGGAGCUCAGAUUCCCUCCCCAGGGACUGAUGGAAGCUCAGCUCCCCCUGUACUAACCUGGAUAUCGUACCUGCCUAUCACUAAAGAGCUGAGUGACAUUUCAUUUCAUUACAUUUUGCAGGAGGCUAAACUUAGGGAACUUUAAAGUUUUUGCCUUGGAACGACGUGCUCAUGCAAGGUUUUUCUGCUGUGGAUUGUUGAUGCUGCAGGAGCAGAUAGACUGAUGUGCCUUGAAUUCCAACAAGGAGAAGACAACCAACAUGGUGCUCCCCUGACCCACUGGACCAUCAAGUUAUGUUGCGUGACAGGAGUGACUGAAAUCUGUGGAAAGGACUGCUCUCCAGGGAUUGUUUAAGAAGUAAAUGAGGAAACAUCUCUCACCUAUGAUGAUAGGGUAGUGAGUUAUUCUAUUGUUUAGAAUUGGGGUUAACUGUUUUUGUUUUAAACUCUGCUAAGGUUAUUUUUAUAGUGGUCUAAAAUUAAAAAUUUGUUGAGAAACUCAA